RNAcentral lists this unclassified non-coding RNA (233 nucleotides) under plant metagenome. RNAcentral describes it as "partial contains small subunit ribosomal RNA, internal transcribed spacer 1, and 5.8S ribosomal RNA". The record is from RNAcentral.
UUUCCGUAGGUGAACCUGCGGAAGGAUCAUUAUUGGAUUUUGAAACUUCAGGCUGCUGCUGGCUCUCCUCGGAGGGCAUGUGCACGCUUGUUGUCCAUUAUUUCUCCCACUGUGCACAAAUUGUAGACCUAUCAGUAGGCCUAUGUUGUUUUUCACAAUCUCUGAAUGUAAUAGAAUGGUUUUGAAUCUUGGGAAAUACAAUACAACUUUCAGCAACGGAUCUCUUGGCUCUC